RNAcentral lists this ribosomal RNA (140 nucleotides) under uncultured eukaryote. RNAcentral describes it as "partial 18S ribosomal RNA". It matches the Rfam family "Eukaryotic small subunit ribosomal RNA", at positions 1299 to 1458 of the family's 1831-position model. The record is from RNAcentral.
UGGUGGAGUGAUUAGUCUGGUUAAUUCCGUUAACGAACGAGACCUUAACCUGCUAAGUAGUUACACGUAACCUCGGUUACGUGGGCAACUUCUUAGAGGGACUUUGCGUGUCUAACGCAAGGAAGUUUGAGGCAAUAACA